Molecule: ribosomal RNA, 324 nt
Filed under: uncultured eukaryote
Lineage: Eukaryota
Description: partial 18S ribosomal RNA
Rfam family: Eukaryotic small subunit ribosomal RNA
Source: RNAcentral
CCCUUAGAUGUUCUGGGCUGCACGCGCGCUACACUGAAGCGUUCAACGAGUAUUCACCUUGCCCGGGAGGGUUGGGUAAUCUUUUCAAAACGCUUCGUGAUGGGGAUAGAUUAUUGCAAUUAUUAAUCUUCAACGAGGAAUUCCUAGUAAGCGCGAGUCAUCAGCUCGUGCUGAUUACGUCCCUGCCCUUUGUACACACCGCCCGUCGCUCCUACCGAUUGAAUGCUCAGGUGAGCCAUUCGGACUUUCAUCAUGCUGGUUUCCAGUUUUGAUGAAGGAAAGUCUUGCGAACCUUAUCAUUUAGAGGAAGGAGAAGUCGUAACA